Molecule: long non-coding RNA, 244 nt
Filed under: Olea europaea (common olive)
Lineage: Eukaryota; Viridiplantae; Streptophyta; Magnoliopsida; Lamiales; Oleaceae
Description: long non-coding RNA (OEUR_LNC006375)
Source: RNAcentral
GAGAAAAAAUGAGUAUUGCCUUCUAAAGCUGAGAUCCUCAAUGUGUUGAGAUCCUUCGAAAGAAGAAGAUGCACGAGGGGAAGAAUCUCUAACUCUAGUACUUUCAACCUUAGAAUUCUAUGACAUAUUCUGGGAGUCUUUCUAAGAAGACAUGAAAACAAAGAAAAACUUCUGAAGAAGAAUAGAAACAUUAGAGAGGAAAUAUCUACCACAAGGUAAGAAAUCAUAAAGAAGAAGUAAGAAA